RNAcentral lists this long non-coding RNA (504 nucleotides) under Fukomys damarensis (Damara mole-rat). Its description in RNAcentral is "lncRNA (ENSFDAG00000022965.1)". The record is from RNAcentral. Lineage: Eukaryota; Metazoa; Chordata; Mammalia; Rodentia; Bathyergidae.
CCCCUUGCUAACAGGUUUCUAUGACAGCACCAUCCCCGCCUCGAAGCUGGGGCCAGGUGACAGUGGGGGGGCUCCCCUCGACUCAUAAACGCCUGAUUCAUAUGUAACCACUGCACUGUGCCCUCUUCUAAGGCCUCCCCUCUGCCACCCUCAGUACCGCUCACAGCCCUGAUCAUAAUGCCACAGGAACGGUAAACAAGAAUUAAGGCUUAAAAAAGCAAGGACCAAGCAAACCUAUGGACAUAGACAAGAAGGAACAGAAAAGCCCACAAGGAAGGGAAUCAUGAUCAAGCUCAGAUCCUUGCAUUUGCAAGGCAGGAAGGAGGGAGAAGCUGCCACACAGAAGAAUUGGUUCAGUGGCUGCAUCUCCGACAGCUGGAUGCUCCCCGGCUAUCUCGGAGACCGUGCAAGCAUCCUAGUAAGAUAAACUGGAAGCCAAACAGCCACUGAGCUCACCAAGUUGCUGGGUUCAGAUCGUGUAGAAAAUGAUCAGCAAGACCAGUC